This 70-nucleotide transfer RNA is filed under the name Tenebrionoidea sp. 2 KM-2017. RNAcentral's name for it is "tRNA-Lys". Lineage: Eukaryota; Metazoa; Arthropoda; Insecta; Coleoptera. The record is from RNAcentral.
CAUUAGAUGGCUGAAAGCAAGCGCUGGUCUCUUAAACCACUUUAUAGUAACCUCGCAAUUACUUCUAAUG